AGUGAACGCUGGCGGUAGGCCUAACACAUGCAAGUCGAACGGCAGCACAGUAAGAGCUUGCUCUUACGGGUGGCGAGUGGCGGACGGGUGAGGAAUACAUCGGAAUCUACUUUUUCGUGGGGAUAACGUAGGGAAACUUACGCUGAUACCGCAUACGACCUACGGGUGAAAGCAGGGGAUCUUCGGACCUUGCGCGAUUGAAUGAGCCGAUGUCGGAUUAGCUAGUUGGCGGGGUAAAGGCCCACCAAGGCGACGAUCCGUAGCUGGUCUGAGAGGAUGAUCAGCCACACUGGAACUGAGACACGGUCCAGACUCCUACGGGAGGCAGCAGUGGGGAAUAUUGGACAAUGGGCGCAAGCCUGAUCCAGCCAUACCGCGUGGGUGAAGAAGGCCUUCGGGUUGUAAAGCCCUUUUGUUGGGAAAGAAAAGCAGCAGGUUAAUACCCCGCUGUUCUGACGGUACCCAAAGAAUAAGCACCGGCUAACUUCGUG
This 491-nucleotide ribosomal RNA is filed under the name uncultured bacterium. RNAcentral describes it as "partial 16S ribosomal RNA". It matches the Rfam family "Bacterial small subunit ribosomal RNA", at positions 29 to 507 of the family's 1533-position model. The record is from RNAcentral.